Molecule: long non-coding RNA, 7735 nt
Organism: Solenopsis invicta (red fire ant)
Lineage: Eukaryota; Metazoa; Arthropoda; Insecta; Hymenoptera; Formicidae
Exons: 2
Source: RefSeq, a predicted model, not a curated record
AAAGAAAUGAAAUACUAGAAAAUAAAAAUAUUUAUUUGAUAAUACAAUGAAAUAAUUUUUUUCAGUAUAUUAUUCGUGAUACUUUGUAAAAAAUGUGAGCCAAUUCAAUGUCGAUUCGAGAUCAAAAUAGUUAUUGGCAAUUUUGAUUUUCUCAAUUUCUCUGUAGCUCUGUAGAAACAUCGUGAUAUCGAAACCCCGCGAAUGCAAUUGCGACGACGAUAUAUUCAAUCGCUGCGGCAAGAAAGUGGGCAGAGGAAGAACUGAGAACGGGUUUAUUAAUUGUUUAUUAAUCGAGUUUAAUUGUAUAAUUUCGGAACAAUGACGAUUUUGACUCACCACUCUUGCGCGCGACCUCGAGCGUUUCCCUUUUUCUUUCGAAGACCAAGGAAGACGGGUGGGACGAAGGAGAAAGAGGAAGUGAAGUGCGCGAGGAAGACGCGCGCAGCGGAGAGGAGAAAACCGAUGGGGAGGGAGGUUGCCGGUGCACGUUCCAGAAAACUGGUCGCCAUGUCGACUCCCGUCUCUCUUCCUCUCCCUCUCCAUCCCUCUCUCCCUGCUCCCUUUUCUCCGUCAAUGCCACCGACUGUAUGCACCGCGCCAUCACGAGAUAUCGUCCGUUGCACUUUUCAAGCUCGCGCACGAGUGCGUAGAAGGAGGAAGGAGCGAAGAGAGAAUUGGCGAGAGGUGCAACGAAAGAAGGAGAAAGAGAGGAAAGGGAGGAUAGAAAGCCAUGGUCCGUCCGGCGCGCGAGGGAAAACAAAAUCGUUAAGCGACGCUCAUCCCGUUGUGCGAUGUUGUCGCGAACGAGGGCUACGAGACGACCGACCGAAAGAGAGAGAGAGAGAGAGAGAGAGAGAGAGAGACGCGGCCUUCGCACCACUCGCUCUCGUUCGCGACCUUUGAUCGACGACGACGACGAGACGACGAUGGAGCAGCGCAGUAGCGCGGAUUUGAUUCGAUCAGCUGGGCUCAGCUUCGAGCGGUCGCUGCAAAUUACAGCGGGGUUAUAAUCGGAUCCGCGGAAGUGCGAGUUGAGAAACGCGAGUAUCGCGAUUAACGUUAACGAUCGGAGGGUCCGAUCGACGCGAACGGGUCGGCGCGAGACGCGCGGCAGGACGCGCGACUGCGACCCCGAAAUCGCAUCAAUGACGCCUGCUGCCUCGACAUGUACCAGCGACGUACGUCGUCGCCUACGACGACAGGGAUUUUCGAUCACCGUAACGCGCCGGUCGAUUUUCGAAGAGCGAAAGACCUUAGGCGGGAUAACGGGCUAUCCUCUCUCCCACUCGUUGCAACGGAGCUGGCAACGCCAUUGGCAAACGGCAACGCUGGCCGUUCGAUCGUAGGAGGGAUAAACGGGGAAGGUACACGGCGCGCGCGGCGGAGUGGGGAAUCGUCUCGUUCCGUUCGGUACCUCGCCUGCCUAGGGUCCCUCGUUCCCUACGCCGCUGGCACUGAAUUUCGCACCGUCGAAAAAGGGCUAUGCGGAGAGGUAGGGUCGAAGGAAGCGAAAGCAGCGGGAUCGGCAGAGGGGAGGAGGAGCGAGGGGCGGAAGGCAGGCCAUGUGCGCGAAACUACUCCGAAUGCGUUCUCUUCGGCUCGCCUUCACGCGGAAUUCGUUGCGAUCGUCCUCUCUUUCCCUCCCUCCCUUUCUCUCUCUCUCUCUCUCUCUCUCUUCCUCUGUUUCUCUUUCGCUCCUUCAAGUCCGCGGAAAAGCAAAUUCUCUUCCGUGUCACUGAACUCGCUGGUCGUCUGACCCCGUCGUUUUUCCGCACAAGGUGCGCGCCUCGACCUCGUCCCUCCUCGACGAAUGUGGUGGAAUGGAGUUGCCUUUCUUUCUCUCUCUUUCUCUUCCACUCUUUCGACCUCGUGCCACGUAUCGCUGUGCCGAUAAAUCGAAUUGAGUCGUCGCGAAGAGCAAAGGUGCGAACGUUUCUUCCGUGAGGCCAUUAGGCUAUAUUAUGUAUGUAUUAUGUAGUGUAUCUCUGACGUGACGCGUCCAAACUUCUGCAACGCAAUACUGUUAACGUCGCGGCUUUCAAGUCGCGUGACAUGCGAAAGACAUGCGAGCUAGAUGACGAUGUUCCCCCCUUCCCCCACCCCCCGCACACUUGGCGAUCGUUUCCUCGAGUCCACUCGAGAAACUUGGGAACUUGAAUAGCGACAUCUUCGCCGUCGACGUCCCACUGUACAGAUCACUCGCGUUCUCGUCGAUCGCUCGUACCUAUGGGUUGACUCUGGACCGUCGGUGCUCCACAAAAGGCCACCCUCGAACGGUCGACGGUCGGCCCUUCGCCGACCGUUCGAGAUUAUCGGCGCUCUCUCGUUUGGCCGUCGCGCACCUCGCGACCGCGAGGAAGGCCUCGCGGGACAUUGGCCUCGGCGGGAGCCAAUAAAAUCCCUCUCUCUAUCGGGUAAGCGACACUCUCCCGCUCUUUCCGCUUUCGCUUACCCCCUCUCGCGCGUCUCGCGCCACCCCUACUCUCCCCCCGCGAGGAAAACCCUCGAGAAGGCACGGCGCGGCGAUGAACGGACGGACGGACGGAUCCUCGUCCGUGACACCGAGGCACACAGAUGCGUCGAAUGCGAGCGAGCGGCCGUGCGGCGCGUCGCCACGGACAAGGUGACCAUCGAGGAGAGAGCUCCACUCCGCUCGCGUAUUAAGCUAGACGAGCGAAGGAUAGAACGGCGCGGCGAGAAACGCAACGCGCCGCGACAGUUUUGCCAGUUCCUCCGUUCCCCUCAGUCGUCGCGUUCCUCCCGUCCAUCGCAGUGCAGCGCAGCGGCGGCGUCUGUGUCCGUCCGUUCGUUCGUUCGUUCGUUCGUUCGUUCAUUCGUUCGUUCGUCCGCGAGUGGUGCGCCCGGGCGCGCACAGUCCGUCGCUGUCACCGCCGAAGGCUGCUUCCUCUCUCUUUCUUCCACCGAUUUUCCGUUCUCCUCCCCCGUCUAAAUAAAAUUGCGUCGUGCGUUUCCGCGAGAGAGAAAGAGAGAGAGAGAGAGAGAGAGAAAGAUGCGGAGAUUUCGCGACGCAAAGUGUGCCGACGUCGUCCGCCCAAUCGAUGCUCCUCCACCGCGCGCGCGGUUCCACUCCCCCCCAGAUGAUACGUGUGCACCGUGCGACGACCGAGCGACAUAUGCAUCCGCGCGGCGGAGAACGCGAGGGAGAACGAGAGUCAUACGUCUUACUCAGUGGCUGGCUGGCUGGCUGGCUGGCUGAAUGGCCGCGGCGGCGAUGACGAUGACGACGACGACGACGUCGCGUUGUGUGCAUCAAACGACGUACGACGCAUCGAUGCGACGGACGGCGGAUGCGUCGUCUUACGCGUCAUCGCAUUAUGAACGGACGAGGAGCCCCGCCGUGCGAGCCGUGUGAAACGAGAAAAGAGUGUUCUUUUCCUCUCAAGUGCGAGUGCGCGAGUGCAUCUUUCUUCCUCCCCCGCGCGCUCGCGCGCCGGGCGGGGGGCCUCCGUUUCCGCGAAGUGCGUGAACCAGUGGGAAUGUGCGCACUUUGGGAGUUACGCGCGUCGAUACGUGGGAUCGUGUUGUGUUGAACUCGACUCGGCGAGAGAGGAACGAAAAUGCGAGUAAAACGAGAAGAAAGAGAAAUACAGGAAGAGAGAGAGAGAGAGAGAGGUCUCGGUGACCGCGCGCUGCAUUAUCGAUGAUGCUUGCGCUUCUCUUUAUCUAUCUAUCUCCCUCUCGCUCUCUAUCUCUCUCUUGUCUGGCUAGCUCUACUCACCGAGCGAUCGAACCCACCCUCCUCCCCCUUUUCGACGUUUCUCGCAUAUGGCUGGCGUGCGUUUUCCGCGGUCACCCGCGUCGAUGUUUCGCGAAAAUCAUUUUUCGCAUUCCGCGGUCGCGCCCGACUACAGCACUCUCUCUCUCUCUCUCUCUCUCUCUUUACUCCCCCUCCCCCUCCUACUUCUCCUUCUCCUGCUCCUCCUCCUCCGCCUCCUCCUCUCUCCUCUCUCCUACUCCUUCGCCUCCCGGCGAUCGACGAUCGCAAUUUAAUUUGGCCGGUCGACGAAAAUUAGAUUAGUGCUUCUCGCGCUUCUAUUCUCAGAGCUCCGCGACGCACGUGGUGCGAGGUGACGAUGACUCGGCGUGGACGGCAGAGUUCGAUAGUGAAGAAGGAAAAGACAGGCGUCAGAUACGUUCGCGCUCGAACGUCUCGCAAACGUAUCGCGUUGCCCGUACGGUCGAUUGAGUUCCGCUAUACGAGACGAGACGUCGUUUGACUCGCGAAUUUGAGGAAUCUUCUCCGAGCCGAUCCUGCCUGAUAGAAUCCGACGCUACGCCGGGGAAAUAUCGAGUGUCGCGCCGCGAGGCGAUCGCGUCCAGACGAGAACGGAUCUCGCUCGUCGACCGAAGGUAGGCGAGAACGCAUUUUUCGAAUGUGCAUUGGGUUUAAGGCUCACGCAGCGACGUUGCAGUUUACGCCGUCUCGCGUCGUCGGAGAGCGAUCGUAAAAAAUAUCGCGGGACGAUAUUUUUUUUUCUUCUUCCUUUUUUAUUUUACUUUGGACGAUUUGGAGCUCGCGUUCGAUCCGCCACGUUAUCGCGUCGUUCUCGCAUCACGCUCUAUCCCAUUCAGUUCGAGUUAACGAGCGGCAUAUACGCGCUACUGGCUCGAGCUUUCUGCGCGUCCGUCUUCGCGAUUUAUCUCGCGAUCAUAUUUGCCAGCUGUGUUGCGAUCAGACAUGCAUGGAAAUCGGGCUGUCCGCGGGGAGAACAUUUAGUUAGGGACGUGUCUAUUCCGAGAGUUGUCGACUUUGACCUGGGAGCGCGUAUAUCCGAAACGAUAUUUUCCUAUUUUCUCUACGGUAUGGCGAAAUGUAUCGACGGAUUGUAGUCGAAGGUGACUUCAAUCGAAGCCUUUGUCUCGAGGAGAGCACGAAAGGAAGGAAGGAUUUUUCGCUGCUAGGAGAAAGAGAGAGAGAGAGAGACGGACGAUAAAAUUACCCUUAACCUCGGUGAAUACAUACGUCCGGGGUCAAUGACACCCUGUUGUCUCGUUUCCCCUCUCGCGCAUGCGCAUGGUUUUGACAGUUUCGCGGAGCGAAAGGAGGAUUCUAGGAGCAUAGGACACGCUCGCCGACGCGACGAUGCUGUUUUGCUCGUUAAUACGGAACAAUGAUCGGUUUCCGGUGUGCGCGGCUCCGGAGUGCGGGAGAGUGCGAGAGAGACGUUACGUUCAGUGAGACAUUCCCCGAGGAGGAUGAGGGGAAAGAAGACAGGAACGAGAGACGUUGACGUUGCUGGAUUUUAGUUUAGCAUCCCUGUGUGCUCUUCGUAUCGUCGUACGUGGACCUGAUCCAAGGUUUGCCGCAGGCCACCUUCCGGUCUGGACCUCUCCCGCCGUGGACCUCUCAGGAUCUCUCUCCCCCAGGAGACUUCUUCUCUGGACUUCUUCGUCUGCGCGGAUAGAGCCCGGGGGACGAUAGUUAUCGGCUAUACUUGAUGACACUAACCCGUAGAUCCGAACUUGUGGGCUUUUUUAUAUGCAUACCGCAAGCUCCUAUCUACCGGUACAUGUAGUCAGGCCGGCGUUAAAACUUUUCGACGGAUCCUCCUUCCUUCCUUUUCAUCAUCAUCAUCAUCAUCAUCAUCAUCAUCACCACCACCACCACCACUGUUACCACCAUAACCACCACUACCACCACCACUACUACCAUCACUACCACCACCGCCACCACCACCACCACCACCACUACCAACACCACCACCACCAUCACCAACCAUCAUCACCAUACUAACCCUCCGUUCCCCCGAAUGCCCGCGGUGCUUCCGGUUAUCAGCGACUGACUUCUUGUCGAGUAAUUUCCUCGCACGUGAGAAAGGGCACCACGUUUUACAUCUGCCGACCGUUAAAGCGCGAUCGACAUGCGUCGUUAAAGUUAAGGAAUAUCGUCGUCCAAUGAACUCCAAAGAGUUACCAAACGUGAUGACGUUCGAGCGUCAACAAAAACACGCUCUUUAUGUUGUGUGAUAUGUUGUAAAGCGAUAUCUUUAAACGCUCUCAUUGUAAAACAAAGCGCAUUUCUCUGAAAUCUGGAGAUGGAGGCUCUUCCGUGCGGCGAGCCGUUUCUGCAAAGCCAAGAGAAAAAGAUUGUAAAAGACAUUUAGGUAAAUAAGGUAUCGAUUAGGUAUAUUGGCAGGCGAGCGAAAUGAUUAUGAGAGCAGUGGAGCGUUAUAUGUGGAACAAUAAUGAAUGCUAUAUGUGAGAACAAAUUUAAUUUUUUCGUCGCUUAUUGAAAUUGCGAUCGACGUAUCCAACAAUGUGACAUGUUUUGUAUUUAAUUGUACGUUAUCGAAGGAUGUGAGCCGCGAAUUCGGACGAACCUCGAGUCGAGCGCGCCUUGAGAGAUUCGCCCGGCGAGUCGAGCGUUUAGAGGGAGAUGAAACGAGAGGCGACCUGUGUCGAAAAGUCAGUCGGGUGAGUUAAGGGCGUGGAGAAGAACGGCGGAUGGAGCGGCGGACGAGAGAGGAGAAGCCCCCGCGACGACGUCUGGGUGAGGUAGUAGGUUGUAUAGUAGGGAAUGGAAAUUCGCGAGAUACGAAGUCCACUGUACAACUUGCUAACUUUCCCGGUCGUCGGCGCUGCGACGUUGCUGGCGCUGCGACGGAGCCGCUCCCGAGGACCACUGUCGCGAGACCCGCGCCGCGAGAGCGGGAGGAAUCUCUCCGCGAAGAAAAAGAAAAAAAAAAGAAAAGAAACAGCCUCUUGUUUUUCUUUACGCGAAUGUAUAAGUCGGACUUGUAUAACGCCUUGCGCCUUACAACGAAUGCGUACGCGUGGCAUUUUCUCUUGGUGUAAAUGCGUACGUGUGCACGUAUGCGUAUGUGCGCGUGUAGUAUGCGUGUGUGAGUGCGUGCGUGAAGACGAGGGUAGCGUAUUUUCGCAACCGUAUAAUUCUCUUACGAGCGAGACGAGGCGCGAAACGAUUUUUUCGUUCGGUACUCAUAUAGGCCGGUAUUCAUAGUCGAUUCUUAUAUUUAAGAUCAUCUCGAGUAUUGCCUUAAGAUCAUCAAUCAAUCAGAGAGCCGUAUUAGCCGUAUUAGCUUCUUAAGGCAUUACUUAGAAUUGUUUUGAAAUAGAAAUUGAAUAAGAAUCGACUAUGAAUACCGGCCAUAGUCAGUUCUUACCUCAAGACCGUCCUGAGUAAUGUCUUAGGAUAUACGGCUCUUUUUACGAUUGGUUUAUAUUAAAUCUUUCUGAAUACAAGAGCCAACUGUGAAUAUCGGCCUUCGACGUACGAGAGAAGCCCUUUCGUCUCGGAAUACACGUCCAUUUAUGUACUCUCUCUUUGCGAGCGUUAUAAUUGCGUAACGAGCGCAAGAAAUGUGUUUCUAUCCCUUCAUUGGCACUUCCGUUUCUCGUUCUCCAAGCGCGAUUCUUGCAGAUCCAGCUAGGCUUCCGCUCGAGAGCCGCACUCGGGAGAUCCUCGGUAAAUGCGCGACUGAAACGUGUCGAAAUAAUUUCCCGGCCCCUCCACUUUGUCGCCGCGAUUCCUUCGAGAGAUUUCGGGGUAAUAAUUCGCGACGCACUGUCCGGGGCAGCCGUGAAUUUGCAUAAGAUCCUCUUGCAAAAGAGAAAGGGCGAAACGAUCGCGGAGCGCGAGGGUGAGAUGGAGAUAGCAUGAGUGGUGAGAGUGAGCGUGAGAGAGAGAGAGAGAAAGAGAGAAAAAAAGGGCAAUGGCGGGCGGGCUGAUUGUAAAGCCUGCCGCGUCGCCGGU